GCUGUCGUCAGCUCGUGUCGUGAGAUGUUGGGUUAAGUCCCGUAACGAGCGCAACCCUUAUCCUUAGUUGCCAGCAUGUGAUGGUGGGGACUCUAAGGAGACUGCCGGUGACAAACCGGAGGAAGGCGGGGAUGACGUCAAGUCAUCAUGGCCCUUACGGGUAGGGCUACACACGUGCUACAAUGGCCGAUACAGAGGGCGGCGAAGGGGCGACCUGGAGCAAAUCCUUAAAAGUCGGUCGUAGUCCGGAUUGGAGUCUGCAACUCGACUCCAUGAAGUCGGAAUCGCUAGUAAUCGCGAAUCAGCAUGUCGCGGUGAAUACGUUCCCGGGCCUUGUACACACCGCCCGUCACACCAUGGGAGUGGGUUGCACCAGAAGUAGAUAGUCUAACCUUCGGGGGGACGUUUACCACGGUGUGGUUCAUGACUGGGGUGAAGUCGUAACAAGGUAGCCGUAGGGGAACCUGCGGCUGGAUCACCUCCUUA
RNAcentral lists this ribosomal RNA (486 nucleotides) under Legionella pneumophila. RNAcentral's name for it is "bacterial SSU rRNA". It matches the Rfam family "Bacterial small subunit ribosomal RNA", at positions 1048 to 1533 of the family's 1533-position model. Lineage: Bacteria; Pseudomonadati; Pseudomonadota; Gammaproteobacteria; Legionellales; Legionellaceae. The record is from RNAcentral.